RNAcentral lists this ribosomal RNA (306 nucleotides) under uncultured bacterium. Its description in RNAcentral is "partial 16S ribosomal RNA". It matches the Rfam family "Bacterial small subunit ribosomal RNA", at positions 507 to 807 of the family's 1533-position model. The record is from RNAcentral.
GACAGCAGUAGCCGCGGUAAUACAGAGGGUGCGAGCGUUAAUCGGAUUUACUGGGCGUAAAGCGUGCGUAGGCGGCUUUUUAAGUCGGAUGUGAAAUCCCUGAGCUUAACUUAGGAAUUGCAUUCGAUACUGGGAAGCUAGAGUAUGGGAGAGGAUGGUAGAAUUCCAGGUGUAGCGGUGAAAUGCGUAGAGAUCUGGAGGAAUACCGAUGGCGAAGGCAGCCAUCUGGCCUAAUACUGACGCUGAGGUACGAAAGCAUGGGGAGCAAACAGGAUUAGAUACCCCGGUAGUCCCUGUCUCUUAUAC